GCUGCAACUGUUUAUUAAAAACACAGCACUGUGCAAAAUCGUAAGAUGACGUAUACGGUGUGACGCCUGCCCGGUGCCGGAAGGUUAAUUGAUGGGGUUAGACUUCGGUCGAAGCUCUUGAUCGAAGCCCCGGUAAACGGCGGCCGUAACUAUAACGGUCCUAAGGUAGCGAAAUUCCUUGUCGGGUAAGUUCCGACCUGCACGAAUGGCGUAAUGAUGGCCACGCUGUCUCCACCCGAGACUCAGUGAAAUUGAAAUCGCUGUGAAGAUGCAGUGUACCCGCGGCUAGACGGAAAGACCCCGUGAACCUUUACUACAGCUUGGCACUGAACAUUGACCCUACAUGUGUAGGAUAGGUGGGAGGCUUUGAAGCACGUACGCCAGUAUGUGUGGAGCCGUCCUUGAAAUACCACCCUUGUAGUGUUGAUGUUCUAACGUCGACCCCUAAUCGGGGUUGCGGACAGUGCCUGGUGGGUAGUUUGACUGGGGCGGUCUCCUCCCAAAGAGUAACGGAGGAGCACGAAGGUGGGCUAAUCACGGUUGGACAUCGUGAGGUUAGUGCAAUGGCAUAAGCCCGCUUGACUGCGAGAAUGACAAUUCGAGCAGGUGCGAAAGCAGGUCAUAGUGAUCCGGUGGUUCUGAAUGGAAGGGCCAUCGCUCAACGGAUAAAAGGUACUCCGGGGAUAACAGGCUGAUACCGCCCAAGAGUUCAUAUCGACGGCGGUGUUUGGCACCUCGAUGUCGGCUCAUCACAUCCUGGGGCUGAAGUCGGUCCCAAGGGUAUGGCUGUUCGCCAUUUAAAGUGGUACGCGAGCUGGGUUUAGAACGUCGUGAGACAGUUCGGUCCCUAUCUGCCGUGGGCGUUGGAAGAUUGAAGGGGGCUGCUCCUAGUACGAGAGGACCGGAGUGGACGAACCUCUGGUGUUCGGGUUGUGUCGCCAGACGCAUUGCCCGGUAGCUAAGUUCGGAAUCGAUAACCGCUGAAAGCAUCUAAGCGGGAAGCGAGCCCUGAGAUGAGUCUUCCCUGAUACUUUAAGUAUCCUAAAGGGUUGUCGGAGACUACGACGUUGAUAGGUCAGGUGUGUAAGUGCUGUGAGGCAUUGAGCUAACUGAUACUAAUUGCCCGUGAGGCUUAACCAUACAACAC
This 1147-nucleotide ribosomal RNA is filed under the name Vibrio parahaemolyticus. RNAcentral describes it as "partial 23S ribosomal RNA". It matches the Rfam family "Bacterial large subunit ribosomal RNA", at positions 1793 to 2925 of the family's 2925-position model. Lineage: Bacteria; Pseudomonadati; Pseudomonadota; Gammaproteobacteria; Vibrionales; Vibrionaceae. The record is from RNAcentral.